This 405-nucleotide ribosomal RNA is filed under the name uncultured bacterium. RNAcentral's name for it is "bacterial SSU rRNA". It matches the Rfam family "Bacterial small subunit ribosomal RNA", at positions 28 to 426 of the family's 1533-position model. The record is from RNAcentral.
GAUGAACGCUAGCGGCAGGCUUAAUACAUGCAAGUCGUGGGGCAGCAUGAGUGUAGCAAUACAUUUGAUGGCGACCGGCAAACGGGUGCGGAACACGUACACAACCUUCCUUCAAGUGGGGAAUAGCCCAGGGAAACUUGGAUUAAUACCCCGUAAUAUUAUGGAGUGGCAUCACUUUAUAAUUAUAGCUCCGGCGCUUGAUGAUGGGUGUGCGCCUGAUAGGUAGUUGGCGGGGUAACGGCCCACCAAGCCUUCGAUCAGUAACUGGUGUGAGAGCACGACCAGUCACACGGGCACUGAGACACGGGCCCGACUCCUACGGGAGGCAGCAGUAAGGAAUAUUGGUCAAUGGACGCAAGUCUGAACCAGCCAUGCCGCGUGGAGGAUGAAGGUCCUCUGGAUUGU